UUAGACCCAGGUAGUCCCAUUUGAGCAUUGUGGGAUCCGAUAUCACUCAAAGACCCAGUAACAGCAGGAGGCAAGCUCGCAGGUGUAGAAACUGGGCGAGGAUAGUGAGACUGUAUAAUAGCUGGAUCAUUGUUUAUAGGUGGCAUAGGCUGAACAGGGGGAGAAGACUUAACCUGUAAGUCCUUGAUGUCACUUCCACGGAACAAUAUGUAUUC
Molecule: unclassified non-coding RNA, 215 nt
Filed under: Hevea brasiliensis (rubber tree)
Lineage: Eukaryota; Viridiplantae; Streptophyta; Magnoliopsida; Malpighiales; Euphorbiaceae
Source: RNAcentral